AUGAACGCUGGCGGCGUGCCUAAUACAUGCAAGUCGAGCGAACAGACGAGGAGCUUGCUCCUCUGACGUUAGCGGCGGACGGGUGAGUAACACGUGGAUAACCUACCUAUAAGACUGGGAUAACUUCGGGAAACCGGAGCUUAUACCGGAUAAUAUAUUGAACCGCAUGGUUCAAUAGUGAAAGACGGUUUUGCUGUCACUUAUAGAUGGAUCCGCGCCGCAUUAGCUAGUUGGUAAGGUAACGGCUUACCAAGGCAACGAUGCGUAGCCGACCUGAGAGGGUGAUCGGCCACACUGGAACUGAGACACGGUCCAGACUCCUACGGGAGGCAGCAGUAGGGAAUCUUCCGCAAUGGGCGAAAGCCUGACGGAGCAACGCCGCGUGAGUGAUGAAGGUCUUCGGAUCGUAAAACUCUGUUAUUAGGGAAGAACAAAUGUGUAAGUAACUAUGCACGUCUUGACGGUACCUAAUCAGAAAGCCACGGCUAACUACGUG
Molecule: ribosomal RNA, 496 nt
Filed under: uncultured bacterium
Lineage: Bacteria
Description: partial 16S ribosomal RNA
Rfam family: Bacterial small subunit ribosomal RNA
Source: RNAcentral